Molecule: ribosomal RNA, 1473 nt
Filed under: uncultured bacterium
Lineage: Bacteria
Description: bacterial SSU rRNA
Rfam family: Bacterial small subunit ribosomal RNA
Source: RNAcentral
AGAGUUUGAUCCUGGCUCAGGAUUAACGCUGGCGGUGCGCCUAAUACAUGCAAGUCGAGCGUGAUCACAUGGUAAGCAAUUAUUGUGUGUGAAAGCGGCGAACGGGUGAGUAACACGUUGGAAUCUACCUUGAACUCAGGGAUAACUAACCGAAAGGUUAGCUAAUACCUGAUAGUCUCGUAAGAGUAAAGCUUCGGCGGUUCAAGAGGAGCCUGCGUUCUAUCAGCUAGUUGGUAAGGUAAUGGCUUACCAAGGCUAUGACGGAUAGCUGGUCUGAGAGGAUGAUCAGCCACAAUGGGACUGAGAUACGGCCCAUACUCCUACGGGAGGCAGCAGUAAGGAAUUUUCCGCAAUGGGCGAAAGCCAGACGGAGCGACACCGCGUGAAGGAUGAAGUUCUAAUCGAGCGUAAACUACUGUGGUAAGGGAAGAAGGUGCACUUUGUGCACUUGACGGUACCUUACUAGAAAGGGGCCGCUAACUGCGUGCCAGAAGCGUCGGUAAUACGUGGGCCCCAAACAUUAUCCGGUUUUACUGGGUGUAAAAAGUCGUGUAGGUUUCUCAUUAAGUCUUGUUUCAAAUUCUACGGCUCAACCGUAGACAGGGGCAGGAUACUGAUAGGAUUGAGAUUUCUUUAGGGAGAUCGGAACUCAAGGAGGAGUAGUGAAAUGCGUUGAUACCUUGGGGAACACCAGUGGCGAAAGCGGAUCUCUGGAAGAUUUCUGACACUGAGACACGAAAGCUAGGGGAGCGAAGCAGAUUAGAGACCUGCGUAGUCCUAGCUGUAAACGCAUGCUUGCUAGCCGCAUUUUUUGACCUUCGGGUCACAAGGUGUAGCGUAGGUAACCCGUUAAGCAAGCCACCUGGGGAGUACGGCCGCAAGGUUGAAACUCAAAGGAAUUGGCGGGGAGGCACACAACCAGUGGAACAUGUGGUUCAAUUCGAAACGAACCGAAGAACCUCACCAGGGUUUGACAUGAAAGAGUCCUAUUCUGCAGAAAUGCAGAAAAUUCGCAAGAAGGCUUUCACAGGUGCUGCAUGGCUGUCGUCAGCUCGUUCCGUGAGGAGUGCCCUUAAGUGGGACAACGAGCGCAACCCUUGUCUUGUGUUAAAUCUAUCACAAGAGACUGCCCUGAUAUUUUAUCGGGGAGGAAGGAGAGGCAGACGUCAAGUCAGCAUGGUCCUUAUACCCUGGGCUACACACAUGUUACAAUGCAACGCAACAACGGGCUUAGCCAGACCGCAAGGUCGAGCAAAUCCCUGAAAUCGUUGCUCAGUGGGGAUUGAGGUCUGCAACCCGACCUCAUGAACGCGGAAUUGGUAGUAAUCGCAGAUCAGCUACGCUGCGGUGAAUACGUUCUUGCCUCUUGCACACACCGCCCGUCAAGCCAACAAAGUCGGGGACACCUGAAUUUCGAUGUAUAUCGGAAGAGGGUAUCGCCGGCGAUGGGGGUUAAGUCGUAACAAGGUAACC